Molecule: ribosomal RNA, 889 nt
Filed under: uncultured bacterium
Lineage: Bacteria
Description: bacterial SSU rRNA
Rfam family: Bacterial small subunit ribosomal RNA
Source: RNAcentral
CGCUAGCGAUAGGCCUAACACAUGCAAGCCGAGGGGCAGCAUAGGGUAGCAAUACUUUGAUGGCGACCGGCGCACGGGUGAGUAACGCGUAUGCAACCUACCUAUAACAGGGGCAUAACCCGGAGAAAUUCGGACUAAUACCGCAUAAAACAGGGGCUCCGCAUGGAGAUAUUUGUUAAAGAUUUAUCGGUUAUAGAUGGGCAUGCGUUCCAUUAGCCAGUUGGUGAGGUAACGGCUCACCAAAGCAACGAUGGAUAGGGGAACUGAGAGGUUUGUCCCCCACACUGGAACUGAGACACGGACCAGACUCCUACGGGAGGCAGCAGUGAGGAAUAUUGGUCAAUGGGCGAGAGCCUGAACCAGCCAAAUCGCGUGAAGGAAGACUGCCUUAUGGGUUGUAAACUUCUUUUAUACAGGAAUAAAAAGAGUUACGUGUAACUUAUUGCAUGUACUGUAUGAAUAAGCAUCGGCUAACUCCGUGCCAGCAGCCGCGGUAAUACGGAGGAUGCGAGCGUUAUCCGGAUUUAUUGGGUUUAAAGGGUGCGCAGGCGGGAACUUAAGUCAGCGGUGAAAUCUCGACGCUUAACGUCGAAACUGCCGUUGAAACUGGGUUUCUUGAGUAUAGAUGAAGUAGGCGGAAUUCGUUGUGUAGCGGUGACAUGCUUAGAUAUAACGAGGAACUCCGAUUGCGUAGGCAGCUUACUAAGCUAUAACUGACGCUCAAGCACGAAAGCGUGGGGAUCAAACAGGAUUAGAUACCCUGGUAGUCCACGCCGUAAACGAUGAUUACUAGUUGUAUGCGAUAUACGGUAUGUGACUAAGCGAAAGCGAUAAGUAAUCCACCUGGGGAGUACGCCGGCAACGGUGAAACUCAAAGGAAUUGACGGAA